Tribolium castaneum (red flour beetle) is the source of this 1915-nucleotide RNA transcript. RefSeq lists it as uncharacterized. The transcript has 5 exons. The record is from RefSeq and is a predicted model, not a curated record. NCBI's taxonomy places the organism in Eukaryota, Metazoa, Arthropoda, Insecta, Coleoptera, Tenebrionidae.
UUCAUUAAACGAUUAUUUAUUUGAUACGAAAGUAUUAUUUUAAAUAAAAACAGUGACGUCUUUUCAACAAAUAUUGAAAUGAAGUAAGUAUAAAAAGCACAAAGUUUUUUUUCACACCUCACGAAAGCCUCUAACCAAGUUACCCAAAAUGUCAGUCUUGUCACUCUUAUUUCUUGCAGUAAUUUCAUUUAAUGAGGUCUACUACCUCCAAUGCUAUAUGUGUCGUUUCGACGAUAAUUGCGAAUCUCCGAAGGAAAUUACUUGUCCUGAAGAUAGAACCUACUGUCUAGCUAUUAGAACUUAUCCAGACAAAAAUACUUUUUAUGUGACUUCAAGGGGCUGUGCAACUCCAUAUACUGCCGAAGGCAUUUGUAAGGAUAUAAAAGAAAUGAGUGAAGGAAACUGUUAUAAUUGCCAAGAGGAUUUAUGUAAUGAAAAACUUCCUGAAUUGGAGUGAUGUGGACAAAAUUGUAAAUACAUAUAAAUACAAUAAAUAAAAUAAAAUAUGCAUCUAAAACAGAAAUCAUGUUUUUUUUAAAGUGCGUGAGAUCACAGAAAUAAAAGGGAUACUAAUAAACUGCCACGUAAAUAAUAGUCAAUCUCUAAGUAAUAUAUUGUAAAUAGUAUUUAAAGAUGCUUGGUAUUAAAAUAAAAUUUACUAAGAAAAAAUAAUAAUACUACUUAGAAAACGCUAUACCUACCUAGGUAUUUAACAUCCACCUUCUACACAAAAUAUUGAUAUAAUAGACAUGAAUUAACAACAAUUUUUGAACUAAAAAUAUAUCUCUAAACUAAAGAUGUUUCUUCAAAAAUGACGAGCCAAAAAAACUGAAAUUUCUACAUAAAGGAAAAUUGAAGCUUACAAACUUAUUUACUUUAUUACUGCGUACUUCGUAAUUAUAGGGGGUGUAAAGUAAACAGAGCAAAAUUUCUCGUACAUUCUAAGAAUGGAAAAAGGAAUAUAAAAAAUAUAAAAUAAAUAUUGAAUCAAAGUACGAGUGGCGUCAACAGAUGUUUUUAUAACACAGACUCUAAAUUUUUACUAUUUGUAUUCAAAUAUGCCUGUAUACGAUUGGACUUUUUAUUUCCACCAAAAAUUCCCUUAUCUCUAUAUUAAAUUGCUCUGUUUCUUGCAAUGAAAAUUAUGAAGGUACUAGUCAUUUACCAAAUGUUUUUGUAAUUAAGCACAGAAGGAAACAACCACAAACUGAGUUUUUAACAUGAGAAAACGAGAAAAUCUUGUUCAAGCCUUUGAUACUUACCGGAUUUUUAGUACACUGCUUGUACCGAUAGUUGUAUUUUAAAUUUUAGGACAUGUGGCUAUAACUGGCUAUUUUUUAUAAUUUCCAAAACGUGUGUAACAGGCGUCAGAAAUAUAACACGUGGAGCAAUUAUCAUACUGUGCUGCUAUUGCUAUACAUUAACAAUUAUUAACAUGAUACGAAAGUGUAUUUUAAUAAAAAUAAACGUCUAUGACGUCUUUUCAAUAAACUCUGAUAUGAAAUAAAUGUAAAAGACAAAAAGGUUCUUAAGACAGUGUCUAAGCAAGUUACUAAGAUGUCAUCAGUCUUGUCACUCUUAUUCCUUGCGGUAAUUUCUUUCAAUGGGGUUUACUCCCUCAAGUGCUAUUAUUGUGGUUCAGAGAAUUGCGAAUCUCCGUCUGAAGAUAAUUGUGAUGAAGAGGAAACCUACUGUGUAGCUGUUAAAAUUGAUCCUGAGAAAAAAGACACGGAUUAUGUGACUGCAAUGGGAUGUGCAACUGAAAAUAUUGCGAAGAGUACUUGUCGAGAUGUUAAACAAAGGGGCGAAGGAAACUGUUAUGAUUGCCAAGAGGAUUUAUGUAAUGAAAAACUUCCUGAAUUGAAAUGAAGUAUACAUAAAUAAAAAUAAAUAAAAUAUGUAUAUAAAGCAGAAA